This is a long non-coding RNA of Portunus trituberculatus (swimming crab), 678 nucleotides long. RefSeq lists it as uncharacterized. The transcript is spliced from 5 exons. NCBI's taxonomy places the organism in Eukaryota, Metazoa, Arthropoda, Malacostraca, Decapoda, Portunidae. The record is from RefSeq and is a predicted model, not a curated record.
GUCAGUAGUGGCGGUGUGGUGCUACUGCAGAUUUAUCGCCACAAACCCAGGAAAUGGGGAAGGAAGUGACAAUGAAAAACCUUUGAUAUGGUCAGAAAAGUUCUCUUCACAAGGAUCACAAACCAGACCCUCGCCCGGCUCCCACCGCCGCCCCCUGCCCCUACACCCCCCCUUCAGAGGGACAAGUCGCGCCGCUCCCUUGCCCUCCCCUCCUGCCCUGCUUGCCUCUGCCCUCCACUAUCCCACGAUUGUGUACUAGUGGCGAUAUGAAGAGAAUGAGGCGAACACUAGCUUCUUGUUCUCUCCCUGAUCAAAACAAAUACGCAGUUGAAAAUGACGGCGGACUGAUGGAGAUGUGAGAACAAACCAUAGCCCGCUACUAGGUUCUUACGUUCCGCCACGACCGCCGCUAUUCCAGUCUCACCGUCAUCCCCGCCACUGGAUCACCUAACAAACCCCAGUACCCAAAGACGAGACGGUCUACUGGAGAACCCUCAAGCCAGACGCCAGGCAGGACGCUGGGAACAAGAGUCCUGCCAGGAUUCCAUGGACCUCACCGCGGGAGCUUCUGGGAUCACGCCAAGAACAACAGCUGUACCUCCAGUAGCCUCAAGAAAAACACACUAUUGUGGGUGUUCCCGAGUUCUGAUUGUUCAUUAUAAUAAAGAGUAACCAACC